UAGUGCUGCUGUACACAUGAGUGACUGGAAGGUUCAUGGUGUCUUCAACAGAAACAGAUUCGGAAGUGAGAUGAGUUUGGAGGGAAAGAUGCUUCUUGUGGUUUUUGUUUGGAGUUUGAGGAAGCCACAGGACAAAUCCAGGACCCUUUGUGUUUGAAUCUGCACAAGUCUUUUGCUUUGGGAUACCAUUAACUCUUAAGUCUAAACCAUAUAGUUAAGCCCCCACGAGGGAAAGAAGUUGACCUCUGACACUUGAAGCCCAGAGGUCUAGGGCUCAAGCUAUUGACAUGGCUUUGUGGUUGACUAAGUGUAUGCAAUAAUCAGCCCAUGAGGAAUCAGUGUCCCCGAACCUUGUUGGAUGUCUCAAGGCCACAAGUCACCACAACCCAUGAUGCUGACCCAUCCUGUUUCUGUAUAGAAACAAGAAGGACCCACAUCUACCUGAGCUAGUGCCUGCAUCUUUGCUAAAUA
This is a non-coding RNA of Phascolarctos cinereus (koala), 471 nucleotides long. NCBI's taxonomy places the organism in Eukaryota, Metazoa, Chordata, Mammalia, Diprotodontia, Phascolarctidae. The record is from RefSeq and is a predicted model, not a curated record.